CGAUAGGGGGAUCCCAAGUGCAGAGGCAUAGAGCCUGCGCUUUUCUGUACCGUAAGGCGGUACCAGAAUAAGGGCUGGGCAAGACCGGUGCCAGCCGCCGCGGUAAUACCGGCAGCCCGAGUGAUGGCCGAUCUUAUUGGGCCUAAAGCGUCCGUAGCUGGCCGUGCAAGUCCAUCGGGAAAUCCACCUGCUCAACGGGUGGACGCCCGGUAGAAACUGCAUGGCUUGGGACCGGAAGGCUUGACGGGUACGUCCGGGGUAGGAGUGAAAUCCCUGUAAUCCUGGACGGACCGCCGAUGGGGAAACCACUUCAAGAGAACGGAUCCGACAGUGAGGGACGAAAGCCAGGGUCUCGAACCGGAUUAGAUACCCGGGUAGUCCUGGCCGUAAACAAAUGUCUCGCUUAGGGUGUGGCUCCCAACUACGAGUGGGUGCUUGUGCCCGCUAGGGGAAGCACGCAUAAGACAAGAGCCGCCCUGGGGAAAGUACGUCCUGCAAGGGAUGAAAACUUAAAGGAAUGGGGGGGGGAAAAAACAACAAAAAAGGAAU
Molecule: ribosomal RNA, 549 nt
Filed under: uncultured Halorubrum sp.
Lineage: Archaea; Methanobacteriati; Methanobacteriota; Halobacteria; Halobacteriales; Haloferacaceae
Description: bacterial SSU rRNA
Rfam family: Archaeal small subunit ribosomal RNA
Source: RNAcentral